GGGGGCGAAAUAGGAUCGACGUGCCUAAUAAAAAGAUUGCUUUUACUCGGGAUGAUUCCGCCGAUGGCUUUUGCCAUAUGGGUCAAAACAAAGAAACGCAAACGAUAAUAAUCGUUCUGUAGGUCGUUUAGCUUUAGCAGCUUAACCCCUACGCGGCUGGAGGGUGUGCCGGGCAACAGAAAAACCCUCGCU
Molecule: transfer-messenger RNA, 192 nt
Filed under: Rickettsia massiliae MTU5
Lineage: Bacteria; Pseudomonadati; Pseudomonadota; Alphaproteobacteria; Rickettsiales; Rickettsiaceae
Description: transfer-messenger RNA Ricke_massi_MTU5
Rfam family: Alphaproteobacteria transfer-messenger RNA
About the family: Bacterial tmRNA, also known as 10Sa RNA or SsrA, is named for its dual tRNA and mRNA-like properties. Its role is to liberate the mRNA from a stalled ribosome. To accomplish this part of the tmRNA is used as a reading frame that ends in a translation stop signal.
Source: RNAcentral